UCGAGAAUCUUCGGCAAUGCGCGAAAGCGUGACCGAGCGACGCCGCGUGUGGGAUGAAGGCCUUCGGGUUGUAAACCACUGUCAGUUGGGAGGAAGGGUCGCCGAAGAGGCGACUUUGACCUAGCUUCAGAGGAAGGCCGGGCUAAGUUCGUGCCAGCAGCCGCGGUAAGACGAACCGGCCGAACGUUAUUCGGAAUCAUUGGGCUUAAAGGGUGCGUAGGCGGCGCGGUCAGUUGGGUGUGAAAUCCCUCGGCUCAACCGAGGAACUGCGCCCAAUACUGCCGUGCUAGAGGGAGACAGAGGCGAGCGGAACUGAUGGUGGAGCGGUGAAAUGCGUUGAUAUCAUCAGGAACACCAGUGGCGAAAGCGGCUCGCUGGGUCUCUUCUGACGCUGAGGCACGAAAGCUAGGGUAGCGAACGGGAUUAGAUACCCCCGUAGUCC
Molecule: ribosomal RNA, 442 nt
Filed under: uncultured prokaryote
Description: bacterial SSU rRNA
Rfam family: Bacterial small subunit ribosomal RNA
Source: RNAcentral